GCCUGGGUGGCUCAGUCGGUUGAGCGUCCGACUUCGGCUCAGGUCAUGAUCCUUCGGUUUGUGGGUUCGAGCCCCGUGUCGGGCU
RNAcentral lists this transfer RNA (85 nucleotides) under Felis catus (domestic cat). It matches the Rfam family "tRNA". Rfam says of the family: Transfer RNA (tRNA) molecules are approximately 80 nucleotides in length. Their secondary structure includes four short double-helical elements and three loops (D, anti-codon, and T loops). Lineage: Eukaryota; Metazoa; Chordata; Mammalia; Carnivora; Felidae. The record is from Rfam by way of RNAcentral.